RNAcentral lists this long non-coding RNA (216 nucleotides) under Panax ginseng (ginseng). RNAcentral's name for it is "long non-coding RNA (PGIN_LNC010218)". Lineage: Eukaryota; Viridiplantae; Streptophyta; Magnoliopsida; Apiales; Araliaceae. The record is from RNAcentral.
ACAAUACCUGACAAUAGAUUCCAUUGUCUUACUAACUAUAACCAUUAACUCAUACUAAUUCUCAUUCGAACAGCUUUUUUUUCCCUUUAUGCGUGCCUGAACCUUCAGGUUGCUCAUACGUAACUGAAAACAUUUAAUUUAAGCAAGGAUGAGCAUUUGAGUGCCCAGCAAGUAAUAGCAAUUAUAUAUAUAAGUUGAAAGAAUAUAAGUAUUCUC